Epinephelus lanceolatus (giant grouper) is the source of this 808-nucleotide non-coding RNA. The record is from RefSeq and is a predicted model, not a curated record. NCBI's taxonomy places the organism in Eukaryota, Metazoa, Chordata, Actinopteri, Perciformes, Serranidae.
AGUACAACCCCAGAAAACAGACGCCCUAACAGACUGAAGCUCGGAAGAGACAUGGACCCGAAUGAGUAUCACUGUUUUACUUUACUUUUCCUUUUGAAAAAUGGUAAUCAUAACAGAUGAAUUAUAAAUGUUAAUUUCGGAUUUUAUUUUGUGUUUCAGAGGCAGCUGUCGCCGUUGGAAUAGGGGCAGGAGCAGGAGCAGUCGUUGCUGUCCUAGGGAUUCCUCUUGUCCUGGGAGUCAGGUUUCACCUCGGCUGGAAUAGCAGCGGGCUCAUAUGCAGCCGGCAUGAUGUCAUCAGCUGCAAUAGCUAAUGGAGGAGGAGUGGCAGCAGGAGGUCUGGUGGCUACUUUGCAGUCAAUAGGUGCAGCUGGUCUGUCUGGAGCUGCGACCACAGCUGUGUCUGGUGUUGGAGCAGCAGUGGGAUGGCUGGUCAGCCACAUCCGCAAAAAGGCAUAAAGGAACAAGAUGGAGCCAAAUCUCAGACAACUGAAAUGUUUUAGUUUCUGCUUCCAACACGUAAUUCCUAUCAAGCCCUUCAAUACAUUGAUGGACAUGAACAACAGUCCUUGCGUACGUCCCUGGAUCUGGAGCCUCCUGUGGGAAAGGAGAAGUGGGUUAAGGCCCUUUAACCCGCAGCAGUGGUGCUCCUCAGGGAUGUGUCUAAUCACACUGGCUCUUCUCCUUAUACGCUAUCAGUUUUACAGCCUCCUGAAUUUUAAUCCUUGCAUUGUGAUACAUUCAGCUCGUCAUGGUCUGGGACUAUAGUCAUUAGUGAAAUCAAUAAAUAAAAUUGAUUGAUUGAUCAGUA